CCUUUUCUUUUUGGUUUUUUAAGUUCUCUUUCAGAAUCAGUGGUGGCAUCGCAGGUUCGAUCCCUACCCUUGCUUUAGCACCUUCGUUUUGCAGCUCUGAUCUUCUGAACGUGCCACAGUCUGCUACCGCCGCACAGGAAUGUGUAAACAACACUCUUAGCGAUUUGACCUGCUCGGAUUGAUACAUAUCUCAUAUCUCUGGGAGGCGUCCAGGAGGCUGCAGUGGUACUAUAACCACGUGAAAGGAGUCUCGAAAUGAUUGUAAGAACAAACAAGCUUGGCAUGCUCGAGUAAAAGAGCGAAGGAAAUAUGCUUCCAUGAUGACCACAGAAUGUAAGUUACAUUACACUACAUGGUGGCGGUACUCAAACUCCAACCUCGAUAGCAGCAGACAACAAGAAAUUACUGGGAGCCACUACGGAAAGCUGAAAACUUUCCUGUAGAGUGUCCGUGUCCUCAUGCGAUGAUGGCCUCCACCGCUUCUCGGGAAUGUAAGAAAAGAAAAAACCAACUUUCGAGGCGGAAUCUGUAGAAUCGUGGAAACGUAAGGAAGCGGAACACGAACGCUGACCGAAAGCGAGACAUUUUAACCAGGAGCAUUCCAGUCUUGGGGAAGCGAACAAGUCUCAACGGGACAGCGAGACAGGGGAGAGCUGGUCAGAGAAAUGGUUUCCCGCGAAUCCGAAUGUUGACUAAAACUCCAGAAUCUCGUCACUUAUGUAUUGGUGAGUGACGCUAGCAGGGGCCACUGGAAUCGAUCUCUCUUUCCGGAUUCAAAGAAAACGGCUCGCGCCGGGACCUUCGCAACUUCACCAACUUAGUACUUUACUUCCCUACUAAUGAGCUCGAUUCAUUCCGCAGGCGAGAGAAUGCUUUCCUGCCUGGAAAACUUCACGAGGAACUGGAAAAAACCAGUGUGGCUUUGAUUUUCUAACGAGCCACGUCAACACAGCCUUAAAUGCGGACGUUAACGAAGAUGAUAGGCUUCCAGACAAAUGUUUUCCAAUCGCUGACCCCAAGACGUGGCCGAACGGCACCGUUGAAACCGAUGAGAAACGACGAGCGGUCCAGUUGCAAAGGAAAAGCUUGACCCGUGGAUGGUGUCCCUUCAACCGUUCGCAUAGGAUACUGCGUGGAACUCGGGCACUCGACAUUUGGAAUCCAGCUCAAGCCUAUGAGCGCGCACCGGCAGCUCGCGGGGGACGAUGAACUAGGCUGAUGUCUGAGUGCGAUACUUUAUUCCUGAUAACCUGGGAGGGACCCUACUACUUUUUGGCAGCAGCACGUACCUAGGACGCUGAUGAAGAGCACCUUCCCUUCGGCUGUCGUCGAUGAUGUUCUCUGGUCCACACUGUUCAAGGUACUUAUUCUUACUAGUCUGGGAAGGAGAGGGAGAGAUUUCGUCCACUUCUCUCGUGAGUCGUGAAAGCAGCCGUCGUCAUAUCGGUCCUGAGCCUGUGCCAUUUAUUCCCGCGAACAAGUGUCUGCAUGACCCUCUUGACAAGCAGCGGCAUCGUUGCUAUUAGUCAACAUCGUCGUCGAAUCUUUGUUUUCCUCUUGCUUGCCUUAUACUUUAUGAUCUCUUCCUUGUUGUUUCUUCUUGCUCAUUGACGUCUUGCCUCACUAGCAACUUCCAGCUUUCCUUUUUGUC
Selaginella moellendorffii is the source of this 1651-nucleotide long non-coding RNA. RefSeq lists it as uncharacterized. The record is from RefSeq and is a predicted model, not a curated record. NCBI's taxonomy places the organism in Eukaryota, Viridiplantae, Streptophyta, Lycopodiopsida, Selaginellales, Selaginellaceae. The transcript is spliced from 6 exons.